Long non-coding RNA from Rhinolophus ferrumequinum (greater horseshoe bat), 1389 nucleotides. RefSeq lists it as uncharacterized. The transcript is spliced from 3 exons. The record is from RefSeq and is a predicted model, not a curated record. NCBI's taxonomy places the organism in Eukaryota, Metazoa, Chordata, Mammalia, Chiroptera, Rhinolophidae.
CUGUACUUCUAGCUCAAUCUUCAGGCCGGUAAAUCUCUUGGUGGAAAAGGAGCGGAAGUUGGAUCUGGCAGAGAUUCCUGGUGGUCAGUCAAGUGGAUACAAACCUGAAACCCGCCCACAAGUCUCUCAGGGUCACCUUGGGACCUCCAUGAGGUUUCUCCAGGCAGUCGUCCCUCUCUCAUACUGUGAACCAGGCACAGUCUGCAAUCAGCUUCCAAAAGGCCUGCUCUAGCCUAGGCAGGACAAGCCAUGCCCACAGAGGUCCUUUUAUUUAUUCUCCAGGCAGGAACAUGCAGGUACUGGUCUGUCGCCCAGAAGGCUCUGGAAUGAGUGCAAACCAGAAGAGGGUGCCUGUCUUGUUCUGAGCUUGAAGAUGGGACUGAGCAAGUACAUGUCCGGACAUUUUGGAAUUGUUAAAAAUUAUUUUUAAAAUAUUAAAAGCAAAGUGUUUUUGAGAAAUGAAGAUACUUGCCACAUGGAUUGGGCUAGGCCUAGAGAGUUCACAAAGCUCCUUAACAUUUGCUGUUUCGACGAGUCCCUGAUGGCGUUUGGCAGGAGAAAUGAAGUGGGGUUCUGAGAGAUUAUUAGAUACUCCCCUCCUUACUCCGCGCCCUGCUGUGUAUGGCUGAGACCAGCAACGAGGAAGCGAAGAAGCAAGAUUGUAUGUACCUCUCCAAAGGCAGCAAAUGAAAUGCCGGACUUCCGCCGGGGAAGACUGUCUGAACCACGACUGCUUUUCUUCAUCUCUGAGGACUGGGGCUGCGUUUAGAUUUAAACUGCUUUACUAGCAAAUUGAUUAUUUAUAUCAAGGCUGUCUCUGCAGCUUCCUUGUUGGUGCCAAGCUGGUUUAAAAGUUCCAGAUGCAGCAAAGCGAUCUCCAGCCUUGGCAGUGGUUGUCAGCAAGACCUUACUCAAAAUCAACUCCAGAAAAUUGGUCUAAACCAGAGACUAAACGCUGGCAGCCCAGGAGGUGAAAUCCAGCCCACAGGCCCAGGCUGGUGGCAAGCAUGAUUUGUUGCUGUCCUUGCUGUUUUUUUUCCUUUUUUGAAAAAUUUUUGUUUGUACAGUGUAGACUCUCACAAUUUUUUAAAAUUAUAGACUUACAUCAACUUUGCAAGAAUAAAGAAUUCUCAUGUACCCUUCACCCAGAGUCACCAAAUGUUAACUUUUUAUCCCCCAUGUUAUUAUUAUUUGAGCCACUUGAGAAUAAGUUGCAGACUUACUUCUAAACAGUUCGGUGAAUAUUUCCUAAAAAAACACCAAGAAUAGUCUCUCAUAGAAUCACAUAUAAUUAUCAAAUCAGGAAAUUAACAUUGAUGCAGUAUUACUAUUAAUACCUAGUCUAUAUACCUUAUUCACAUCUCACCAACUGACCCCUUCCAUGCUUUA